Non-coding RNA from Pseudomonas cichorii JBC1, 85 nucleotides. The record is from Rfam. Lineage: Bacteria; Pseudomonadati; Pseudomonadota; Gammaproteobacteria; Pseudomonadales; Pseudomonadaceae.
UCGUAAGUCGUUGCCUGGCAAAUGCCGGCAGCGGCGAGCUUCGUCUAUCCCGUAUGGAUGUACGAGGUUUCACCAGAAAAAGGAA